UUGAACGCUGGCGGCAUGCCUUACACAUGCAAGUCGAACGGCAGCACGGGAGCAAUCCUGGUGGCGAGUGGCGAACGGGUGAGUAAUAUAUCGGAACGUGCCCGGUCGUGGGGGAUAACGUAGCGAAAGCUACGCUAAUACCGCAUACGAUCUACGGAUGAAAGCGGGGGAUCGCAAGACCUCGCGCGAUUGGAGCGGCCGAUAUCUGAUUAGCUAGUUGGUGGGGUAAAGGCCUACCAAGGCAUCGAUCAGUAGCUGGUCUGAGAGGACGACCAGCCACACUGGAACUGAGACACGGUCCAGACUCCUACGGGAGGCAGCAGUGGGAAUUUUGGACAAUGGGGGCAACCCUGAUCCAGCAAUGCCGCGUGAGUGAAGAAGGCCUUCGGGUUGUAAAGCUCUUUUGUCAGGGAAGAAACGGUGAGGGCUAAUAUCCUUUGCUAAUGACGGUACCUGAAGAAUAAGCACCGGCUAACUACGUG
RNAcentral lists this ribosomal RNA (482 nucleotides) under uncultured bacterium. RNAcentral's name for it is "bacterial SSU rRNA". It matches the Rfam family "Bacterial small subunit ribosomal RNA", at positions 30 to 507 of the family's 1533-position model. The record is from RNAcentral.